UCAUAAUUAUAAACAUUAUCGUUAUAUUUAACACUCCAGUGCUCAUUAUAAUCAUAAAGCUGUCAUAUAAAUAUCAAUCAUUUCUGAAACUUAAUCAUUAUUGUCUUAGUUCUCUCAGUACACGUGAAAGAUUUCGAAAUGUGCAUCGUGUUUUUAGUAUUCGUAUUGAUAGUAGCGCAGAUUAAUGCUAGUCAAGAUGUCACACUAUGUUUACCGAAACAGGAGAUGUUAAACGAAUGCCCUGGGUUGGCAGAAAAAUAUCUAAAAUUUGGUGGGCCUGAUACUAGUAUGCUAUUUGACACUCAUGGAGGUUACAAAUAGAGGAAUAAUGGCAGCAGACAUUAUUUUCAGCCAAGACCAAGUUUCGAUAUGGAAUGCACCUUCACCAGUGUAUAACUUAGGAAUGUCUUUAUUAUCUGUGUGAAAUAAUAUGUAACUGCUCUAAUAUUUAAAAGGUACUUAAAUAAAAGCGAAUUAAUGUAGCUAAAAUGUCAGUUAGUUUGUCCUAAUUGGCUUUUGGAUUUUGGUUUAUAUUGAUAAUGAAUUUGUAAUACCGUAGUGUAGUUUAAACACAAGUGUAAGUUAAUUAUUAAAGACAUUAUAUAAA
Long non-coding RNA from Pieris napi, 607 nucleotides. RefSeq lists it as uncharacterized. The transcript has 4 exons. NCBI's taxonomy places the organism in Eukaryota, Metazoa, Arthropoda, Insecta, Lepidoptera, Pieridae. The record is from RefSeq and is a predicted model, not a curated record.